GGGAAUGUAGCUUAGUGAUAAAGCCCUUGCAUCACAUGCAAGAAGCCCUGAGUUCAAUCCCCAGUCCCA
This 69-nucleotide transfer RNA is filed under the name Ictidomys tridecemlineatus (thirteen-lined ground squirrel). Its description in RNAcentral is "Spermophilus tridecemlineatus (thirteen-lined ground squirrel) tRNA". It matches the Rfam family "tRNA". From Rfam's summary of the family: Transfer RNA (tRNA) molecules are approximately 80 nucleotides in length. Their secondary structure includes four short double-helical elements and three loops (D, anti-codon, and T loops). The record is from Rfam by way of RNAcentral. Lineage: Eukaryota; Metazoa; Chordata; Mammalia; Rodentia; Sciuridae.